CUUCAUGCUCCAGUGGGAUUUAACAUCAAACAAUGGCAGAGCAUGAAGAGAGGAAAUAAUGCUGCCUUCUUCCAGGCUGAACAAACAGUUCUGUCUCUGCUCUGCAGCUGAAGAGGACCACUAAGAUUUGCUUUAAUUAAGCUCUGUCACAAGAGGGCUACUAGGAGCCUUUAUUCUACAGCAAAGAGCACGAGUGAGGGAAGAGGCAACUGUAAAACACGAACAACCUGCUUUGCACUCAGAAAGAAAGGGGGAAGAAAGUAGAAGAUUGCAGUCUGGUGUUCUAGUGAAAGGCUUCCAAAGGAGCUUCUUGAGAAUCUGACUGCAGCUCAUAAUUGCAAGUCCUUAGUGGGAGUACAUAAAAGUAAGUAGUGCUUGUUGGCAGCCUCCAUUCCUUUCAAAUGACAACUCUGGAAUACAAGUCCCUGUUUGUGUGAUAUGUGACUUUUACCUCUUUGAAUCUUUGAAACUCAGGUGUUUUUUCACUUCUAAACUCUGUUGCUACCUCCCCAGUCCCCCCCUUUAAAAAAAAAGAUUUAAAUGCUGUUUUGCAUUCAUAGCAUCUUUCUAAAUAUCCCAAAGUAUCCAACCAGUAUCCAAAAAAAAACAAAAAAAAAAACAAAAAAAGGACUCCCAACAUAGGAAGAGACCUUGGAAAUGCAGCACCAAGCCCUGUUGCAGCACAGGUUGAAAUGUUUGAUUGUAAAGUAUCCAAUUAAGCUCUAUAGAAUCAUCCUCCACUUUAGUAAUAAACAGAAAAUAACAAGACUGAUACAACUUUCAUGAUUAUGUAAGAGUUGUCAUGCAGUCUGAAGACUGUCAUUUGUGGUUCCAUCUAUCAAAGAUGAUCUAUAUUACAUGUUUGAAGUUAGGCAAGAACAAGACCAUCUAAAGCAUAUAGAUAUCAGACCACUUUCCUGAGGUCAUAUGAGAGAUCACUGACAAACUUGAAUCUCCUUUAAUUCUCAUCAAAUCUAAGAGCAAAAAUUUGGUAAGAAUUCAACUCCACAUUCUAAUCUUUAUGAUUUGUUCCAGACAAAUUUUAGUCCAAAAAAAGAACUGAAAAUGUUUAAAGUGUAGCCUGUGGAUAAUAGCAAUUUAUCUUACCUCCACAGUUAUAGAGAAUUUUCUUUAGAUUUAGAUUGAUAUGGAAGUUGUUAACUGUUAAAUAUAAAUUCAUAUAUCAGGUUUACUAUAGAAUGUGAAGUGUAUUCUGAGUCCCUAUAUAUUGUUUGAUCACUUCUGAGGGCUUCUAGUUUACUGUUCCAAACUAGCAGAAAAAUCAUGUAAAUAUACUUACACAGCCUUAAUAUUCAUCCUUGCUGAAAGCUGCUCAGAAUACAAUGAUGCCUCUCUAAUCAGAAAAAUCAGAGGGUAAGAAACAGUGAAGAGCAACAUUAUCAAAACCCUGCAUAGUACCUUGCAUCUCAUGCUCUUCUGAAAUCAUCUGCCUGUCUUGUUCCCCUACUCCUUGGGGGAUUUAAAAAAAAAACAAAACACCAGAAGUUCUGAAACCCCACUCCAAUAGAAAAAUUGACUACCUACCCUGAAGCCUGAAAGGCAAUAGUUGAAGAGUAUUACAGUACCUUAGUAGAUGCAGUUUUCUGACUGAUAACUCAAAAAGAGGUAUCCAUCAUCCAGACAAAGUGCUUUUACCUUAACAUGAUUUGGUACUUAAUUGGGUAAGGCUCCCUGUGUUAUUUGCCACAUAGUAGACUUCAGGAAGGAUGAAUGCCCAAUUGAUAAUCUUUGGCACAUGUCUAUAAAUGAACUCUGACAGACCUAUCUUAAAUGUACCAUAUGGAGUUUGCAGAUCAUCAAUUGAAAUAAUGGAGUUCAUAUAGUAAGCUAACUUAAUACCUGAAUUACUAGAAGAGAUAUUUGUUUUUAUUAGAUAACAGCUGUUGCAUUGAAGUAAGAAUAGUAAGAAAAGUAACCCAUUAGAUUUCUAUGCAAAGGCCACAGAGUAAAUCAGCAAGUAAAGCAUGAUUCUGUUCUCCAGCAAUGAGGAGAAUGAACUAGGCAUCCUUGGUUCAGGGCUUCAUUUUCAACCCUGUUCUUGUAUUUAAGACAAUGCUCUAAUGUUCAGCGUUAAAGUUUCAGAAAAGAAUGUGGAAAAUACCUUAGGCCUGGAACUUUAGCAUCUCUUAGAAUGAAAAGCCUAGAUUUCUGGAAACUCAUUUUCUGAAAGGGUAUGCCAAUACAGCUGGAGUACACAGUUUAUAAGCUCACAGUUAUAUACAGAACUAAAGUGGUAUUAAGUUCUCAUUAGUCUCACUCCUUACAAAAAAAAAAAAAAAAAAAAAAAAAGACAAAA
Long non-coding RNA from Lagopus muta (rock ptarmigan), 2317 nucleotides. RefSeq lists it as uncharacterized. Lineage: Eukaryota; Metazoa; Chordata; Aves; Galliformes; Phasianidae. The record is from RefSeq and is a predicted model, not a curated record. The transcript has 3 exons.